CCCUCCCUCCCUCCCUUCUGAGCAUCAAGUGCAGCCUGCGCGCAGCGUCCCGGCUGCGACUCUGUCUCAGAAGAAGCAAUGAGGAGAAGGGAGCCGUCGCCCUGCUGAUACCAGGACGUCUGGGAUGCAGUAACAGCCGUUUGUUUUCUACUCGGAUCAUAUUUGUAUAUUUCUAGGGAAAACAAACAAUAAGUUGCGGAUUUGGCAUAUCCAUCAAACGGAUGCAAGCAGAGCCAGGCCCAACUUAACAAUGGGCCCAAUAACCCUGUGUGUGCUGCUCCCGGUGACGGUGCUGGCUUUGGUGGUGGCUGUAGCUGCUGAGGAGAAUGCAGUCGACGACGAGUACACUUGGCCGCAGUGGAAGGUGCCUCUGGUAAGGAAAAGACGCACUGUGCAUCUAAGCAGCCCAAACUUUUCUGCCCAUCCUCAGCCAGAGCUGAGUGGGACCUGUGGGAUUGAGUGUCAGCGUCGCCUCCCUGCCACGUCUCUGGACGACCUGGAGCAGUUCCUCUCCUACGAGACGGUUUAUGAGAAUGGUACACGCACAUAUACCUCAGUUUCUGUGCAGGGUCUCAAUGAGGUGACUGCCUGGUCCAAAAAUAUCUCGUCUAGCUCCCGCCAAAAACGAGAGGUGUACGGCACAGAUACCCGCUUCACCAUCUCUGAUAAGCAGUUCUCAACCAAAUAUCCAUUCUCCACCUCUGUGAAGCUCUCCACAGGAUGCUCUGGAGUUCUUGUGUCACCUAAACAUGUGCUGACCGCUGCCCACUGCAUCCAUGAUGGGAAGGAUUAUCUAGAUGGGGUGCAGAAGCUGCGCGUUGGUAUUCUGAAGGAGAAGUCCAGACGAGGGAAAGGAGGCAAAGGGAGAGGAAAGGGCAAAAGGAGAAAGGGAGACAAAGAUAAAGAGGAAGUGCAGGAGAAGGAAGAGAAUGAAGGGAAAGGGGACCGUAAAGGAAAAGGGAAAGGUAGAAAGAGCCGCAGUCGGCGAAGUGCGGAAUCAGGGAAACCUUCGUUUAGGUGGACCGGGGUCAAGAAGACCCAGGUGCCUAAGGGCUGGUUCAAAGGUGUGUCUGACGGACUGACUGCGGAUUAUGACUAUGCUGUUUUGGAGCUGAAGAAAGCCCCCAAAGUCAAGCACAUGGAUCUAGGUGUUAUCCCCUCUGUCAAGAAGCUUCCUGCUGGGAGGAUCCACUUCUCCGGCUUUGAUGAUGACCGUCCUGGCAACCUGGUGUACCGGUUCUGCUCCGUCUCGGAGGAGUCCAAUGAUUUGUUGUACCAAUACUGUGAUGCCAAACCUGGCUCCAGUGGCUCUGGGAUCUACAUCCGCCUCAAAGAGCCUGGUAAGAAGAAGUGGAAGAGGAAGAUCAUUGGGGUUUUCUCCGGUCACCAGUGGGUGGAUGUAAACGGGAACGGGAUGCAGCAGGAUUACAACGUGGCGGUGAGGAUAACACCUCUCAAAUAUGCCCAGAUCUGCUACUGGGUCCAUGGGGACUCGAGUGAGUGCCAGGUAGCCUAAGACAACACAGGAUCCCCCCAUUAACCACAACCCCUCUCCGGUCCCUCAGACCAACCUUUAUACAAGGGACACCCUAUCUUCUCUCACCCUCCACCUCUCAUUACCAACCAGGGGCACGACGACUGCCUCUCCUCUUCCUGCCUCCCUUUUACCUCCUGUGCCUCCCAGUGACUCCUGCUAAACACACACACACACACACACACACACACACACACACACACACACACACACAACCCACAUAUAGCCAUACAGACUCAGUGUUGACAACAGGAAGUCGUCAGCGUAUCAAGAGAACUGUGGCUCUUCAGCUUUUCUAAUUUAUUUGCU
This is an RNA transcript of Sander lucioperca (pikeperch), 1843 nucleotides long. It is a transcript of the gene named serine protease 35, with no coding region annotated. NCBI's taxonomy places the organism in Eukaryota, Metazoa, Chordata, Actinopteri, Perciformes, Percidae. The transcript is spliced from 3 exons. The record is from RefSeq and is a predicted model, not a curated record.